Molecule: ribosomal RNA, 392 nt
Filed under: bacterium 05.95.36
Lineage: Bacteria; Pseudomonadati; Spirochaetota; Spirochaetia; Spirochaetales; Spirochaetaceae
Description: bacterial SSU rRNA
Rfam family: Bacterial small subunit ribosomal RNA
Source: RNAcentral
UAACGCGUGGGUAAUCUACCUUUGGCAUGGGGAUAGCCACUAGAAAUAGUGGGUAAUACCGAAUACGUUCCCUGGGGGGAGGUUUCAGGGAAGAAAGGGUGCUACGGCACCGGCCGGAGAUGAGCUCGCGUCCCAUUAGCUAGUUGGUGAGGUAACGGCCCACCAAGGCGAUGAUGGGUAGCCGGCCUGAGAGGGUGUACGGCCACACUGGGACUGAGAUACGGCCCAGACUCCUACGGGAGGCAGCAGCUAAGAAUAUUCCGCAAUGGACGGAAGUCUGACGGAGCGACGCCGCGUGGAUGAUGAAGGCCGAAAGGUUGUNAAGUUCUUUUGCUGGGGAAGAAUAAGCCUAGGAGGGAAUGCCUAGGUGAUGACAUGAACCGGCGAAUAAG